AAGUCAGAAGUUAAAGCCCUCGGCUCAACCGAGGUAAGCUUUUGAAACUGAUUGGCUUGAGCGCAGGAGAGGAGAGCGGAAUUCCUAGUGUAGCGGUGAAAUGCGUAGAUAUUAGGAAGAACACCAGUGGCGAAGGCGGCUCUCUGGACUGUAGCUGACGCUGAGGCACGAAAGCGUGGGGAGCGAACAGGAUUAGAUACCCUGGUAGUCCACGCCGUAAACGAUGAGUGCUAGGUGUCGGGGUCGACAGGCUUCGGUGCCGGAGUUAACACAUUAAGCACUCCGCCUGGGGAGUACGGUCGCAAGACUGAAACUCAAAGGAAUUGACGGGGGCCCGCACAAGCAGCGGAGCAUGUGGUUUAAUUCGAAGCAACGCGAAGAACCUUACCAGGGCUUGACAUCCCUUGGAAUAUACUAGAGAUAGUAUAGCCCUUCGGGGCCAAGGUGACAGGUGGUGCAUGGUUGUCGUCAGCUCGUGUCGUGAGAUGUUGGGUUAAGUCCCGCAACGAGCGCAACCCUUGCCUUUAGUUUGCAGCAGGUUAAGCUGGGCACUCUAGAGGGACUGCCGGUGACAAACCGGAGGAAGGUGGGGAUGACGUCAAAUCAUCAUGCCCCUUAUGUCCUGGGCUACACACGUGCUACAAUGGCCGGUACAACGGGCAGCCAACCCGCGAGGGGGAGCUAAUCCCAUAAAGCCGGUCCCAGUUCGGAUUGUAGGCUGCAACUCGCCUACAUGAAG
RNAcentral lists this ribosomal RNA (739 nucleotides) under uncultured Bacillota bacterium. RNAcentral's name for it is "bacterial SSU rRNA". It matches the Rfam family "Bacterial small subunit ribosomal RNA", at positions 585 to 1325 of the family's 1533-position model. The record is from RNAcentral. Lineage: Bacteria; Bacillati; Bacillota.